Molecule: ribosomal RNA, 440 nt
Filed under: uncultured bacterium
Lineage: Bacteria
Description: partial 16S ribosomal RNA
Rfam family: Bacterial small subunit ribosomal RNA
Source: RNAcentral
CCUACGGGUGGCAGCAGUGGGGAAUAUUGCACAAUGGGGGAAACCCUGAUGCAGCGACGCCGCGUGAGCGAUGAAGUAUUUCGGUAUGUAAAGCUCUAUCAGCAGGGAAGAAAAUGACGGUACCUGACUAAGAAGCCCCGGCCAACUACGAGCCAGCAGCGGCGGUAAUACGUAGGGGGCAAGCGUUAUCCGGAUUUACCGGGUGUAAAGGGGGCGUAGACGGCGAUGCAAGCCAGAUGUGAAAGCCCGGGGCUCAACCCCGGGACUGCAUUUGAAACUGUAUAGCUGGAGUGUCGGAGAGGCAGGCGGAAUUCCUGGUGUAGCGGUGAAAUGCAUAGAUAUUAGGAAGAACACCAGUGGCGAAGGCGGCCUGCUGGACGAUGACUGACGUUGAGGCUCGAAAGCGUGGGGAGCGAACAGGAUUAGAUACCCUUGUAGUC